GUGAGGAAUUUUCCGCAAUGGGCGAAAGUCUGACGGAGCAAUGCCGCGUGAAGGAUGAAGGCCUAUGGGUUGUAAACUUCUUUUCUUAGAGAAGAAUAUUGACGGUAUCUGAGGAAUAAGGAUCGGCUAACUCCGUGCCAGCAGCCGCGGUAAUACGGAGGAUCCGAGCGUUAUCCGGAUUUAUUGGGUUUAAAGGGUGCGUAGGCGGCUUUAUAAGUCAGAGGUGAAAUACGGCAGCUCAACUGUCGCAGUGCCUUUGAUACUGUAGAGCUUGAAUGUGAUUGAAGAUGGCGGAAUGAGACAAGUAGCGGUGAAAUGCAUAGAUAUGUCUCAGAACCCCGAUUGCGAAGGCAGCUGUCUAAGUCAUGAUUGACGCUGAUGCACGAAAGCGUGGGGAUCAAACAGGAUUAGAUACCCCUGUAGUCC
RNAcentral lists this ribosomal RNA (426 nucleotides) under uncultured bacterium. RNAcentral's name for it is "partial 16S ribosomal RNA". It matches the Rfam family "Bacterial small subunit ribosomal RNA", at positions 354 to 796 of the family's 1533-position model. The record is from RNAcentral.